UUUAAGGUUAAAGUUAUUUGUCCUAUUGAACUAUAUAUAAACAAUCUAAAUAAUCAAAAUAUAAUUUAAUAACUAAGCCUGAAACAAUUAAAGAAAUUUAUAUUCGGAAAAUAGGAAAAAAAAAGGUUAAUUUAAGUGCCAGCAACAGCGGUUAUACUUAAUUUUUAAAAUAACUAAUAUAUAAUAUUAAACAAUUAAAUAAAAUAUUUACAAUUAACAACUUUAAUAAUACUAUGGUGAAAUAUAAGUAUUAAAUUUAAAAAUUAAAAAUUAAAUAAUAAUAAGUUAAUAAAACUCACAUAUAAAACUAGGAUUAGAUACCCUAUUAUACAGUCAAAAUAUAUAAAAUUAAUAAUUAAAUGUAGAUCAUUAAAAUUAAUAAAUAUGGCGGCCAAUUUAAAUAAUUAGGGGAACCUGUGGUUUAAAUCGAAAGUACACAAUAAGAUCAACUAAAAUUAAGUUUACGUAUGGCCGUUUAAGUUGAAUUAAAUAAUUCCUCUAAAACUGUUUUAAAAAACAAUAAAUUCAGGUAAACGUGUAGCUUAUUUUAGAUAUCAUGGGUUAUAAAUAAAUUAAUUACUAGAAAAUUAAUUUUAACUAUUAAUUAUAAAGAAGAUUUAAAAGUAAGUUCAAUACAAUUAUAUAAACUGAAAAAAUCAAUAAAAGGUGUACAAAUCGCCCGUCAAUUUCAUUUAAAUAUGAAAUAAGUCGUAACAUAGUAAUUGUACCGGAAGGUGUAGUUAGUUAUUUAAAU
RNAcentral lists this non-coding RNA (754 nucleotides) under Amegilla calceifera. The record is from RNAcentral. Lineage: Eukaryota; Metazoa; Arthropoda; Insecta; Hymenoptera; Apidae.